CGCUGAGUCCGGGGUCGUCCGCGACACCGGAGCCGGGGAACCAACCACAUCUGGGGUGAAUCCCGCACGAGGGGCCCCUCUGCCCGUCCAACGGACGGCGGGGGAGCAGGGAGUGCGAGUAGGGCAAGUCGUGCCCGAACCCGUCAGCUCACCCGGUAGGCGUA
Molecule: small RNA, 164 nt
Filed under: Nocardioides sp.
Lineage: Bacteria; Bacillati; Actinomycetota; Actinomycetes; Propionibacteriales; Nocardioidaceae
Also listed under: 1 other name
Description: c-di-AMP sequence
Rfam family: c-di-AMP riboswitch aptamer (ydaO/yuaA leader)
About the family: This family represents a conserved RNA structure found upstream of the ydaO and yuaA genes in Bacillus subtilis and related genes in other bacteria.
Source: RNAcentral